RNAcentral lists this ribosomal RNA (440 nucleotides) under uncultured bacterium. RNAcentral's name for it is "bacterial SSU rRNA". It matches the Rfam family "Bacterial small subunit ribosomal RNA", at positions 338 to 794 of the family's 1533-position model. The record is from RNAcentral.
CCUACGGGAGGCUGCAGUUAGGAAUCUUCCACAAUGGGGGCAACCCUGAUGGAGCAACACCGCGUGCUGGAUGAAGGCCUUCGGGUCGUAAACAGCUUUUGUAUACGUAGAAUAUGACGGUAAUAUACGAAUAAGGGUCGGCUAACUACGUGCCAGCAGCCGCGGUCAUACGUAGGACCCAAGCGUUAUCCGGAGUGACUGGGCGUAAAGAGUUGCGUAGGCGGUCUUUUAAGCGAGUAGUGAAAUCUGGUGGCUCAACCAUCAACCCAUUGCUCGAACUGAGAGACUUGAGAAUGGUAGAGGUAGCUGGAAUUUCCUGUGUAGGAGUGAAAUCCGUAGAUAUAGGAAGGAACACCAAUGGCGUAGGCAGGCUACUGGACCGAUAUUGACGCUGAGGCACGAAAGCGUGGGGAGCGAACCGGAUUAGAUACCCCAGUAGU